AUUGAACGCUGGCGGCAUGCUUUACACAUGCAAGUCGAACGGUAACAGGUUAAGCUGACGAGUGGCGAACGGGUGAGUAAUGCAUCGGAACGUGCCCGAUCGUGGGGGAUAACGCAGCGAAAGCUGCGCUAAUACCGCAUACGAUCUGAGGAUGAAAGCGGGGGACCGUAAGGCCUCGCGCGAUCGGAGCGGCCGAUGUCAGAUUAGGUAGUUGGUGGGGUAAAGGCUCACCAAGCCAACGAUCUGUAGCUGGUUUGAGAGGACGACCAGCCACACUGGGACUGAGACACGGCCCAGACUCCUACGGGAGGCAGCAGUGGGGAAUUUUGGACAAUGGGCGCAAGCCUGAUCCAGCAAUGCCGCGUGCAGGAAGAAGGCCUUCGGGUUGUAAACUGCUUUUGUACGGAACGAAACGGUGAUCUCUAAUACAGAUUGCUAAUGACGGUAC
Molecule: ribosomal RNA, 448 nt
Filed under: uncultured bacterium
Lineage: Bacteria
Description: bacterial SSU rRNA
Rfam family: Bacterial small subunit ribosomal RNA
Source: RNAcentral